RNAcentral lists this ribosomal RNA (485 nucleotides) under uncultured bacterium. RNAcentral's name for it is "partial 16S ribosomal RNA". It matches the Rfam family "Bacterial small subunit ribosomal RNA", at positions 30 to 507 of the family's 1533-position model. The record is from RNAcentral.
UUGCACGCUGGCGGCAUGCCUUACACAUGCAAGUCGAACGGCAGCACGGGUGCUUGCACCUGGUGGCGAGUGGCGAACGGGUGAGUAAUACAUCGGAACAUGUCCUGUAGUGGGGGAUAGCCCGGCGAAAGCCGGAUUAAUACCGCAUACGAUCCACGGAUGAAAGCGGGGGACCUUCGGGCCUCGCGCUAUAGGGUUGGCCGAUGGCUGAUUAGCUAGUUGGUGGGGUAAAGGCCUACCAAGGCGACGAUCAGUGGCUGGUCUGAGAGGACGACCAGCCACACUGGGACUGAGACACGGCCCAGACUCCUACGGGAGGCAGCAGUGGGGAAUUUUGGACAAUGGGCGAAAGCCUGAUCCAGCAAUGCCGCGUGUGUGAAGAAGGCCUUCGGGUUGUAAAGCACUUUUGUCCGGAAAGAAAUCCUUGGCUCUAAUACAGUCGGGGGAUGACGGUACCGGAAGAAUAAGCACCGGCUAACUACGUG